This is a long non-coding RNA of Chiroxiphia lanceolata (lance-tailed manakin), 6740 nucleotides long. RefSeq lists it as uncharacterized. The transcript has 2 exons. NCBI's taxonomy places the organism in Eukaryota, Metazoa, Chordata, Aves, Passeriformes, Pipridae. The record is from RefSeq and is a predicted model, not a curated record.
CAGGGGAAAAUAGUAAAGGCAUUUCUAGCAAAAUACAGUGAGAUGGACUCAAACUUGGCCAUAAAUACUGUUUUAUCUUUCUGCAACUGGUAUUGCAAUUUGUACUGUGGCAAUGACUGAGGUCCCAUUUAAUUGAUCACUGAAGGAAUAGACAGAAAGCCUCCUGAAGAGCUCAGUCCUGCAGUUUUUGUCUUCCCACUUUCUCCUUAAAUGGUUUGUAAAAUCUGCCAAAUGGUGAGAGAAUUUCUCAUAGGUGAAACAUGUUUUAAAUGGGAGAAAUAUUAAUGCUGAUUAACAUUAUUCCUGUUUUAUGAUACAAAAGAAAAAUUUAAAUAGUGUAAUGUAAUAUUUUUAAAUUCAAAGACAUCUUCAUAUCUCUAUGGCCCUGUAAAUUAUCCCACUUGCAUGUGAGAAUCGUAAGGAGAGAAAAAUCAAAUGUACAAUAAGGGAAGUACUUGCUCCUUAGAAAAUUCCAGUGUGGAUUCUUACUGAAGUGAUGAAUAAAUUAGGACAUGAAAUAUGGGCACUAUUGCAGAUAUCUGAGGGGAUAUCUUUUUCACUCAAUGUAACAUCCAUAGAUGAAUUAGUCUGCAUUUCCUGUGUUGUAUUUUUUGACAUUCUGCUUUGCUCUAAUGUUGUCAGACAACUUGUGCUGUCAGAAGACACCGUAGAAAAGUAGGACAAACAGAAAGUAGUCAUUACAUAAUGUAAUGACUGCUUUUUCCCUUGCCUUGGAAAGUGACUUUGCCUCUGCAUCAGACUGAAGUGUUUGCAUCUCCUCUUCCCCUUUAAGAAAUAAAUAGGUCAGUUGCCUGCAACAAAGUGGAAAGAGCCAGCUAUGUCCAUGAUAUUGCCACUGGCAUGUGAUUAGUUAGAAAAUAUGUUAAUUAACCAGGUACAUUUGUGGGUUUCUACCAUAUUUUUCUGAUGGUAGUCUUGUUCAGUAGUCUGCUGAAAAUGUGCCCGGUACAGCAUAAAGUAAUGCACUGAUAAUUAGAUUCCCUGCCCAGUGAUUCAGUCCUUUCCAGUUUCUUGAAGGUCACCUUCAGCUGCCUCCCUGUUCACGCUCCAGUUUCUCCCAGUUCCAUUUCAGUGCUCUGUGCAAUAACAGGUUGCAGAAUUCAGUUUCUCAAAUUGGCAUCUUUAAAACACCCUGCUUUGAAAAUCUAAACACUCUAAUGAUCAUGUGCAUCCACUCUGCAGGCUUUAUAUAAUAAUUUUGGUUUUCCUCUUGUUGACAUUCAAGAGCUAAAGCAAUGCACUGUGCUUUGAAAAUCCAAAAUACAGAAGCAGCAAAUUCCUGUUUUGAAAGCUCUUCAGCAACAGCUACUUCACUCUAGGAGCUUUCUUUUAUGAUACCCUCAGAGCACUGACCAAUGUUUUGAAAUGACACUUAAACUUGAUGAUAAAAUGCAUUAAUGUGUCCCCCAUCCCUAGGAUCUAUGAAUGGAGCCAAACCACACAGUGUAAGUAGUUGAGUAACUCUGACAAGUUACCUCAGAGGAAGUGUGUGUAAGUCUAGUCCAAGUUGGCUGUUUUCAUGAUUACAUUUUCUUUUUAAAUUAUCUGUACCUAGUAUAUAUAUAACCUAUUACAGUUAAUACCCGACUUUCUUUCCUAAAUGUCUUGGGGGUAAAUAGAGAAGUGAGAAAAGGUAUAGGGAAAUAACUGUGUCAAGAAUUCUCAUAUUCAUGAAGACUGCAGGUUUUGUAUACAUUCAACUGGGGCAGCUGCUCGAUUACCCUGCUCACAACACAACAGCCCUUUGAUGAUAAGCCCAAGAGAGCUUGUGCCCCAACUUGCCACACCUCCACGUGGUUUAGGCAAAGACAUAUGUUGUGGCUUAGGUGUGAACUAGGUAUUAAAAGUGUGUGUUGGCCUCCCCGUUUAUCCCCUGUGUGUGUGGACUGGGUAAAUCACAGCAGUGUCCUCUGGAGGCAUCGUGCUGCUGCUGAGGUCUGCUCAGGUGGCACUGAGCCUCCCCUUGGGACAGGCAUGUUUAUAGAUACUGCCAGGAUAAAUAGGUAGCCCAACUAGGGAUUUCUAGUGAAGUGACUGCUCAGAACUUGCAGUCAGGAAAUACUUCUGACUACUGCUUUGUCUCUGAUCUGGUUGCCAGGUGGAUACUGCAGAGAUAAGUUUUUGUUUCUCUUUUACUGAAUUCUAUAGCUUCUGUGAAGAACUUUUUUUAAGGAGAAUAGAAAAUUUCUAACUCCUAUAACAUCAAAAAAGACACUUAACUUAAUAUGCACUAAAGGAUUCACUGAGGAUGACAUUUUCAAAAUUCUUGGGUCAGCAAUCUCAUACACUUUUGGGUGCUUUACGAAUAGAAACCAUAAUUAGAGAGACAGAUUUGAACAUGGCAGUGUGCCAUGCACUUAUUAAAAUCUAAGUGCCUGAAGUCAGCCAUAAGCUUUGGGAUUUGUUUUAUUUGUGAAUAUGAUAGUAAAUUUGGAGUUAUUCUGAAGCAAUAAUUAUUCCUUGAGAUAUGUAUGGCAAAGCUGCCUAAAUGUUUUCUGCUUGCUUACUCUGGUACUACAUCUCUGUAACUUCUGCUGUUCUGGGACUAUGUAUUUAUCCCCUCUGCACAAGGCUUUCAUGUCAUUAAAUUUACCUCAAUGUUCUGGUUUUUUUGGUUAAAGUUCUAUAAUAUUUCAGAUGGUUCACACCAGACUAAAGAAACUGUAGGGGGGAAAUUAAAAAAAUCAAGGUGAUUUGUUUAGGCUGUCUUUUCCAGCAUGAACUAGGCAAUCAAUGAGCUUGAGGGUGAAGUACUUGUGCUGGUAAUGCCAGAACACAAGAGUGGCAAAGUUAGAGAAGGAGACUGUAAUGAAGAGCUGUGCUUCAGCUGUGGCAUCCUUUGGUCUCACUACAGCACUUGAUGUUUUGGGGAAAUGAAACAUCAGGCUUUUUUGGAGACCUAGACUAUAUGGGGCCAUUUCUGUUGAAAGCUGAGAACUGGCACCAUGCAUUUGUCUGCUUCAGAUCUCUUGAUUGAUUUCACUAACAUUUUUCAUCUGGCAGCUAUUAACAUUUUUUUGUAACUGAUAAACCUGGAAAGAGCAGUUUGGAGAAUUUGCAUGGAUGUUCAGGGCUUUCAUUUCAAGGCAUCUUACAUUCUUAAAAUGCUUAAGGGGACCUAUAGCUUGUUUGAAAUUAGCUCAGGUUAUUCUGUGCUGCGCUGUUACCUGCAUUACAAAUCUAACUGAAGGUGGGCACUGCUGUAGGUUUGCUGUGCUUCCCAAACCCUGAGAAUCUGCAUUGUGAUUUCUUGUCCAAGUCAUGUGCUCACAUAUUUUCUCUUAUAUGUUAUAGUUCUGUCCUGUCUCUGGGCAGACACUGUACAAGAUGCCAGCGGGGUAUGAAAGGAGAGUUGCCCAUUGGGAGUGUAGGAGAUGCCACGUGGCUUUGACUGGGCUGGGCUGUGACCUCCUGAUCGUCGUCCGUAGGACGAGCUCCUGAGCCUGACCUCCAUCAGAGCUAAAACCUGCUGGAGCUGGGCAAACACCUCAGCUGGCAGCUCCAUGUUUCUCUGAGGACUAGAAGAACCGAGGAAGGAAAAGUGGUGAAUCCAGAAAUGUGUGAAUUCCUCAAGAGGAUGCAGCUCAGACAAGGUGCUGAAGCUCACACUGUUUGUACACUGUUUGUAUCACUGCUGCACAACUUACACAUACUCCCAAUUUUCCUGUGAGGUUCUGUGAUUCCUGAAGUGUACCAGGGCUGAAGUCAGUGAAUCUUCAUAUAGGACUGGAAAUCUACCUUUACUGGACUCUUUAAAAGUACUUUGUUAAAUUGCUUAUGCAAACUCAAUGCAAAGCAAAACAUUACAGCUACUUCUUGGAAUAAUUUCCACAUACCUAGAACCAAAGUUUAAAUUAUUUUUUUAAGUUAUUGGUUUAAUAGAUAUUGCUUAAUAUAUUUUAUUGUAGUAAUAAAGUCUUCAAUUACCAAAUUAAUAUUUCCCAAGUAAAAUCUGGUAAGUCCAAAGUGAAGAGUGGAUUGCUGCCCACAGCUGAUAGUUUAAUAGUGGAAAUGCUAUUUAAUUUUAUUAUUAUUCAAAUUUAGGUUCAGUUUUCUCAAUUAGCAUAUAAAUACUAUAAAUCACUUACAUGGAAAAAGCAUUAUCCUGGAAUAUUUCUAAUGAUUUAAAAUAGCUGAGUAAGGCAAAAUCUUGGCAAGCACAUAGCAGGGAACAAAACUAGGCUGAACAUGGUUGUGGUACAAUGAAAAAUGUUUAUUUUCUCCAGCUUAGUUUCUGUGCAAGAAUUCGUGGACUCUUAAGUAGGGAUCAGAAUCUUUCCUUCUUCAAUCUACUCAUUUAAAGGAGUAACCAUUUUCUUUUAUGUGGUUUUUUUUUUUUUUUUGAGCUGUUUUGCCCAUAUGUUCUGUAACAGAAACCUUUUUUUAAGGGUGAGUUCAAGCUCCUCUUUGGCACCCUUGAAAAUUGCUGCUGAAAGAAUGCUAUUCCUGUAGCCACCCUUUGCCCAUAUGUAUGCAUAAAUGUAUACUAGUAAUUCAGCUGAAGAAAAUGUGCUGAAUCACUCUGCUUUCUCAAUAGAGGGCCAGAGUAAGGAAAUAGAUUGAGCAGCAUGGAUGUUUAUAAAUGAGCACCAUUUCAGCUCAAUGAAAGGGGAAGUGAUAAAGCCAAUGAUUCAUUAAGAAAAAUCUAUUUUCAUCCUUAUUUUGUGUGUGUGGACUCAAGGACUGAUAUCUUCAGUUAUUGCAGCAGAAGUAGGUAGCUUUUAGGCCAUUUAGUGUUUUUAGGUUAAAGUGAACACCCUAAUCUUUUUCCAUUCUUAAAAGAUAGCCAAAUUAAGGAAAGGAAUAUCAAUUUAUUUUCCUCUCUGAGAAAUACUCAGCAUAAGAAAUGACCUGUUGAUACCAUGUGUAACUUUGGACAAGAAGGUAUCAAUGUCUGGUGUAUAUCUGAGGUGCACCAUGAAGUUGGCAGUGCUUGUAUUGGAAAAGAGGGAAACAAAUGCUCUGUUUGAUCUGGCUGCUUGCAGAAUGUCAGAGGGAAUUGUUAUGGAUGUGUGAAGCACAUAGGAGAGCUCAGCUGAGCUGCUGCCCUCAGAGGGGUGAAACUUCUGCCACUCUGAAAGCACUGACACCGUUCAGCCAAAGUCACCCAGGGCACAUUCAGACCUUCCUCGUGCUUUUCAACCACCAGAAUUUGGAAGGAGAGCUAAUUAAAGAUGUACAAAGGUUCAUGUCUAACUUUAUUAUAAAUGCAACUGUGACACAAUUUUUCAGGUGAAACCUACAACGGAAGGGAAGAAAACAUGCAUUUCAAAUGAAGUAGCUCUGCACUCAGGAUGAAAAGCAGGAGAGAUCUUGACUAGGCAAAUUAACCUACCUACCCAUCUAUUGUGUGCUGAAAAAAUUAUUUUUAGCAUGCCUGUGACACAUUUGAUAAUUACUUUUCUCUGUAGUCAAAGGCUCUAUUUAACAAAACAGAUGAAAUAGGGAGUUCAGCAUGAAGGGAGAGGUGUCUGUGUAAUCAUCUUUAUCUUGCUCAUGUUAAUGUCCUGGGAAUGCAUUGCCUUGGAAUAUAUAUAUAUAGUUACCCUCUGAAAGCAGAGCAGAAAUAAUUACCUGUAUUUAGUGCUUGUUAAUAUCCAGAAUAAUAAAGUUUAAAAUCACUUGUGAAGGAUUUGGUCCCAAUAGGUGCUUAGUAGGCUGCAGAACCAGAAAAAUGGCAUGUAAGUGUGGCUACCUGCUUUCACAGGGAGCAUCUCCUUCUUUUCCACACAGACAUCAUUUAAUGCUAAGAUGCUGUGGAAUUUCCUGAGCUGAGUGCUGUGUCUGUUGGGCAGGUCAGCCUGGAUUGCUCCCAGAACCCAAAGGAUAAGACUUGCUGGAGGAGAGUUGUUAGGAUUCUGGCACUGGAGUGUUUUCUGCGUUGAGCUAAUACAGUGCUGAAAGCUAACACAGCAACCAAAGGCCAUUCAGAGCAUCAUCUUAUGUUUGGUUGCUUGCAAAAGAAAAGAUCAGCUUAGAGGGGAAAAAGCAUAUAAAAUCCAAAACAAGAUAAACCUCAGUAAUUCACAGAAAAGUAUCAAAUUAGUGGAACCUCAUUUAAAAAUCAGCAUGAGUUUUAUAUAGUUUCAUAUGCUUUGUCCAUUUAGGCUUUUUUUUUUUUUUUAAAUUAACAACUUUCAAGUAAAGUAAUGAAAAAUAUUUUGACUGGAGGGUUUUGGAAUGAAAUGACAAAUUCAGUGUGUAAUUUGUCAGCAAUUGGGAAUAGAAUUUCUCCAGUCCCAUUUUGCUGAGGGCAUUUUCUCUAUUGUUCGUCUCUUUCUGAUCAUCUCUACUGCCUGUGAAAGGAAAAAAAAAAAAAUCUAUAUUUUUAUUACCUUCACUGAAGAAAUUGAGUGACAGGGAAUUUUUCCAUGACUGACUGCUAAGUAAAAAAAAAAAAGAAGUUAUGGCUGGGUUAUGACUAUUUUCUCCUGCUGUGAUGAGAUUAGAGAAAGUUGAAGUCAGCACCUAGUUGUGGAUAGUCAUCAAUACAGAUGAUAUAUAAUAAAAAUGAAAUCUAGUAUUUCAUUCACCAUUCGAGCAGCAGCUCAGUUUCUGAGCUCACUUCCUCAUUAAGAAACUUCUCUUGAAAGAACCAUCAUUAAAUUAUGUUUCUCUGCUUCUCAGGAUGACGUGCACUUCCUAACUUAGCACUUACACAGUAGGAAAGAAAUAAUUAAUUUCGAGCUUUCAGUUCUCUCUAUUGACUUGCAAGGGGA